This 99-nucleotide non-coding RNA is filed under the name Palpitomonas bilix. The record is from RNAcentral.
AUGUGGGCUUUUGGUUUUGUUUUUUUUUUCUUUUUUCUUUUUUCUUUUCUUCUCAUGAGACUUGAAACGAACAGGAGGAAAAGAUUGGGUUGAAGAACA